UCCAACUUAUCGCUGGCAGUCUCAUUAGAGUGCCCUUGCGUAGCAACUAAUGAUAAGGGUUGCGCUCGUUGCGGGACUUAACCCAACAUCUCACGACACGAGCUGACGACGGCCAUGCAGCACCUGUGUCCUAGUUCUCUUUCGAGCACUCCUACAUCUCUGCGGAAUUCCGAGGGGUUCCAACCCAGGUAAGGUUCUUCGCGUUGCGUCGAAUUGAACCACAUGCUCCACCGCUUGUGCGGGCCCCCGUCAAUUCCUUUGAGUUUUAGCCUUGCGGCCGUACUCCCCAGGCGGGGUGCUUAACGCGUUAGCUACGACGCCUCCGGGGUCAAUACCAGAAACAUCUAGCACCCAUCGUUUACGGCGUGGACUAC
RNAcentral lists this unclassified non-coding RNA (374 nucleotides) under uncultured Kofleriaceae bacterium. RNAcentral describes it as "contains 16S-23S intergenic spacer region". The record is from RNAcentral. Lineage: Bacteria; Pseudomonadati; Myxococcota; Haliangiales; Kofleriaceae.